GUUCACAUUCGCACACUCUCUCUUUCUCUCUCUACCGAAUCAGCCACACCCCACAAACCCUCUCUUCCAUUUCCAAACCCAAAAUCCCACCUUUCAACUCGAAAGAUAGAGAGAGAGAGAGAGAGGGAGAGAGAAAGUGAGUGAUGGAUUCAGAUCAAGGAAAAGUGUUCAUUGGUGGGAUUUCUUGGGACACAACAGAGGAGAAGCUGAAAGAGUAUUUCGGGAACUACGGUGAUGUCUCUCACGCUUCCGUCAUGAGAGAGAAGAACACUGGCAAACCCAGAGGCUUCGCUUUCGUCGUCUUUUCCGAUCCUUCCAUUCUCGACAAUCUUCUCCAAGACAAGCACGUUAUCGACGGAAGAACCGUUGAUGUCAAGAGAGCCUUCUCAAGAGAGGAUCAACAAAUUUCUGUCACUUCCAGAACUGGAAAUCCCAAUACUAGGAAUUCUGGAAAUGGUGGUAAUAUCAGGACCAAAAAAAUAUUUGUUGGAGGGUUGCCUCCUACCCUGACCGAAGAAAAAUUUCGUCAAUACUUUGAGGCUUAUGGCCCGGUAACUGAUGUGGUAGUCAUGUAUGACCAGAUUACUGGACGAACUAGAGGAUUUGGUUUUAUUUCUUUUGAAAGUGAAGAUGCAGUUGAUAGAGUUUUGCACAAGUCAUUUCAUGAUUUAAAUGGUAAACAAGUAGAGGUAAAGCGUGCACUUCCCAAGGAUGCCAAUCCUGGUGCAAGUGGCCGUGGUGGUGGUGGUGGUGGCGGCGGCAGUGGUGGGUAUCAGGGGUAUGGGGCAUCUGGUGGCAACCAAAAUGCAUAUGAUGGUCGGAUGGAUUCCAGUAGGUAUAUGCAGCCUCAAAACACUGCAGGUGGAUUCCCACCUUAUGGCUCUUCUGGGUAUAGUGCUCCUGGGUAUGGGUAUGGUCCGGCUAAUAGUGCCAUUAGUUAUGGUGCGUAUGGAAGCUAUGGUGCUGCUGCUGCUGGGUAUGGUGGACCUGCUGGCGCAACAUAUGGGAAUCCAAAUGUCCCUAAUGCUGCUUAUGUUGGUGGUCCCCCGGGUGGCGCAAGGAGUUCAUGGCCUGCUCAGGCGCCCUCUGGUUAUGGUUCAAUGGGCUAUGGGAACACCGCCCCUUGGGGUGCUGCAAGUGGUGGUGCUGGAUCUGCUGUUGGUGUCCCUGGUUCAGCAUCUGCAGGUCAAUCCCCUAGUGGAGUUGCUGGAUAUGGGAAUCAAGGUUAUGGAUAUGGUGGGUAUGGUGGGAGUGAUAAUUCUUAUGGGAACCCAGGUGUGUAUGGUGCUGUCGGAGGGCGUUCUGGGAGUGCCCCAAAUGUUAAUGCUAGUGGUCCAGUCGGGAGUGAACUACAAGGUAGUGGCGGUAGCUAUAUGGGUAGUGGCUAUAGCGAUGCAAAUGGGAAUUCAGGGUAUGGAAAUGCAGCAUGGAGAUCUGAACCAACUCAGUCAUCAGGACAUUAUGGUACUCCUCAGGGAAAUGGUGCUCAUGCUGGACAAGGUGGUUAUGGUGGUGGCUAUGGCAGUGCUCAGUCCCGACAAGCCCAACAGCAGUAAUUUUGACAGUUAAAUCUUUUAUUGGAUCUUCAACUUCAACUUGUGGAUGCAAGUCUUUAAUUACGUGCUCAAUGAAUUCUUCCCUGCGGCAAUGGAGUGGCUCAAGUUCGAUGUCAAUACACAAUGGGACUGGAGGAGAGGUGCAGGAGUACUGAAGUGGAGCUAAGUGUCCACUCAAGGCUGAUCACAAGCUUCAUAGGGGGCUUGAUCAGGGGUGUUCAGCAAGGAUUGUUCUUUGUUCAGUCAUUUUGUGUUUUUCUGGACCAAAGCAGCGUUGAAUUUCCUAAUCUUCAAUCUGAUUUGUGGUGAAUGUUUGCGGUACGUUGACUUAAGUAGUUAGCUGUGGCUGAUUAAAAUUUUAGCUUGAAUUUUAGGUGACAUUUUAAUUCUUACUCUAGAUUCUGACAUUCUUUUGAUAUGCUAACCCCAGAGAAUUUUUUUAAUCUAAAAAUGUUGACCGUGAUGUGUCUGUUUUUUCUAAGAUAGGAUUUGCUCAUUACCUCACCCUUUUUUUUGUUUUCAUUCUUGGCAUUUAUGGGUUAUCUUUAAGUUUUAGUCUUGUUGCUAUUGUUUCAGUUCUGAUUGGGUUAAAUUUAUAUUGCUUUGUGGUAUGUGCUUUCUGUUCCUAAUUUUCAGGUUGAUCAAGGAGAUUGUAGUUGUGCUGUCUUUUUCUCUUGGUAGUAAUGACCUAGUAUUAGGUUUUCUAGUCUAUCAAGUGUCGUGUUAUGACCAUUAUUUAUUUCUAUAUUUGAGUAAAUAAAGGUAAUAUGAUAUGGAAACGGGUGAUGAGUUAAUAUAUAGUUGUAUAAUUUACUUUUUCUUGUUUAAAUAAUGAGCUUGUCAAUGUUGAACAUGUUUGUUAAUU
Molecule: RNA transcript, 2421 nt
Organism: Gastrolobium bilobum
Lineage: Eukaryota; Viridiplantae; Streptophyta; Magnoliopsida; Fabales; Fabaceae
Gene name: heterogeneous nuclear ribonucleoprotein 1-like
Exons: 3
Source: RefSeq, a predicted model, not a curated record